AUAAAAAGCAACGAACCAUAUCUCUUUGGGAAGGUAUCGAUUUUGCUAUUGUUGUAGACAUCGGAGAAAUAUGGUUGUAAAGUGGCAGUGGUGGUAUGAUUAGCUUCAAAAAUUAUGACGAGAAAGACAGUUCGAAGGCGGAUACAUGCUGCAAACAACCAAGGUAAUGAAUCCAACAUGCCAUACACCACAUCAUUUAUUACAAUGUAGUAAUGGAGAACUUCAUUUAUUACACUUCAGAUGUCCAAUAUGUGUUUAAGGAAUCUUCAUUUAUUGCGUGUUUUGCUUAAUUUGGUUAUAGUAAAGUUGGGUUUUGUUGUAGGUGUUCAUCAUUCUUAUAUCGUUGUCAUGGCUGGGAGGUGGAUUCAGUACGACAGUGGUGAUUGGGAUUUCAAGAUUGACAACGACAGAAUGAGGAGGGCAAUCGAUGUGGAGCUUAUAACCGGUCUAGAUAUGCUCAAACAAAAAAGCAUAGAGGAAUAUGGCCUCAUAGGAGUGUCUCUUAUCGUUGAGCUCUCAUAUUGGCUUCAUGGCGUUGUAUCUGCUGUGACGGAUGAAAGCCAAUAUCCACUUCAAAUUUCCAACCCUGAGGACUUGAAAAUAUUUACUUCGGUCCGGAAAGUGGACAAGUCGGCAAACAUUUUUGUUACAUUUAGGGAGAUAGUUGAUGGGAAACUGAUAUUCCUCAGGCCGAGGGGAUGCGUUGGCACUAGUAAUGGAGUUGAUGACAUGAAUGAGCUGCGAGUUGGAAGUACAUCAGGGGUUGUUGUAGGUGAGGUGGAUGUCGUCACUGGUAAUGAGUUGGAAGAGUGUGAAAUAGAUGUGCUUGACGAUGAUACUAUUAUGAGGCAUGUUGAAGAAGUAGAAGCUGUUUAUGUUGUGAAGUCUUUCGAAUUGUCGAACAAGGCUGCGACAGCCAGCGAAGUCGAGGAAAAGGUGGACAACAAAGAUUGUGAGGUUCAGGAAGACAUAUGAAGAGAGGAAGAAGACGAUAAAGACGGUGAAGACGAUGAAGAUGAGGAUGAAGAGUAUGAAGAGGAUGAAGUGGAUGAGAAAGAUUAUGAUUACAAUGGUUGGAAUGAUUUUGUUUUAAGAAACUGUGAAUGGGACGAUGGGAAAAAUGGGGAAGGAGAGGCAGAUGGGCGUACGAACACGAAAGAUGUAGGUGUACGUGGUGAGAUGGCUCCAAACACGGGAGUGGGAGCAAAGUCUAUGGACAAAUCUUCGAGGAAAGGCAGUGGGUCAGCUGGAAAGAAGCAGCGUACUUCAAAUGAGAAAUCUACAUCAUCAUUUAAAGAUUACAUAGAUGAUGGUAGAGAUUACAUAUGAACGUCGAGGAGCGAUCCCAGCGGUAUCGAAAAAGGUCCGAAUAAUAGGAAGUUCCGAAAGAAAAAAAAUGUAGCAGGUGUUCCAUAACAUGUCACAAUAAAAAAAUCAUGUAAAGAACCCCUACCAUGAUGGGUUUUGAAGUGGAGAAUAUACUUUGUUUGAUAACAAAGAAGCGUGUCGUAUGAAGUAAUUUAUUUUGCGAACGGUGUACGUAUGCAUGUUGUCACUGUGGGAGUUAUUUUGUAAUGUCAGUGUUGGGACUUAUGGUGUUUAUCUUUUUUAAAUACUUAUGGUAUUUAUUGUCUAAUGGUGUACAUGAUAAGGUGUACAGACGAAAUUGUGUACACCGUUAAUAUGGUACACAAUUAAUAUGUCACUAUUUUAUAAUCAAUAGUAUUGAUAUGGUGUACAUGACCUUGUAUACAAGAUUUGGUGUACAUUACUUGGUGUACAGAGUUUCGUCUGUACACCAUUAUUACGUAUACAAUUAAUAUGUAAACCAUUUUAUAAUUAAUUUUGUAGAGAUAUAUACACCAUUUAAUAAUUAAUAGUGUAAAGAUAUAGUGGAGUGUUCUAUAGUUGAACUUUACAUAUCCGUUACUAUCGAUCUAAAUAAUAGCCGUUACUAGAUCAUGUAUAAGAAGACCUGGUAUAUAUGAUCUUGUAUAUAAGACCUGGUGUACAUGACAUUGUGUACAAGAUCUGGUGUACAUUACUUGGUGUACAGACGAAACUAUGUACACCAUUAUUAUGUACACUGUUAAUACAUACACCAUUUUAUAAUUAAUAGUGUAUAGGUAUAGUGGAGUGUUCGAUAGUUGAAGUUUACAUAUACGUUACUAUCAAUGUAAAUAAUAGCCGUUAUUAUUUAUAAAUUUUAAAAUGAUUCUUAAUAAUGGAGUUUUCUAUAAUCGAACUUUACAUAUCCGUCAAUAUUGAUCUAAUUGAUUUUAAAAAUAGCCGUUAUAGCCGCUACCCAAAAUUUAGCCGUUAGGUACAAUUUGAAAUGUAGCUGUUACAACAUAUAGCCGUCAGGAUCGGUGGCAAAUAUAGCCAUUAGGAGCGAUGCCAAAUAUAGGCAUUAGGCAUUGUCCUAUUUAAGCCGAAAGGGUUGAGUUGUUUAAAUCAAGCAUACAUCUAUUUCCAUAAGCACAAAAAACAAUUUCUCGAUCUUUUCUGUACUCAAGAAUCGGCAAUGGGAGAUCCUUACUAGGCUGAUGUGAAGCAAUGGAAAAGGGACAUCGACUGGCGUGAGUUAGUCAUCUAUGCUCUUCAUUGCAUACCAAAACAUUGUUCUUGCGGUGAACCGAUCACAGUGGAAACCGACGUUAAUGAAAGGAGUUAAUACGUCUGCAAAGAUUUUAAGGAUGAUGACGAGCACAUUCGACAUGACUGUAUUACAACUUUCGAGGAAGAGAUAGAUGAAUUAAAGAAGGAGGCACGUGAGGAGCUAGAGACUAGAAGGAAGAUGCAGCAUGAAAUUGCUCAACUGCGUGAAGAGCUGAAACAUUUUAAGGAGUUACUUAAGGGUUUAUGUAUAGGGAUAGGUUUAAGGGUUUAGGGUUGAGGGUUAAGAGGUGAGGGUUAAGGGUUGAGGGUUGAGGGUUAAGAAAUAUCUGAAAUUAUGUAAUUUGCUUUCAUUUUAAUUAACUUUUGUUUAAAUAUUUUCGUGUCACGGCAAAAAAUUAUGUAAUUGUUAUCUGAUUAGUGUUUUAAAUUAAAGUUUUUUAAAAAUAAACAACAAAUAAAAAAACUGUAGCCAAACAACAUUUUAUAUACAACAAAUAUUAUAUAAUAUUCUGAGACAUUGAAAUUUAUAUACAACAAACAACUGAUUUGUAGCAAAAAAAACUGAUUUAUAUACAACUGAUUUGUAACCAAACAAUUAGGAACAUGCGUCCAUUUCAAUCAAACAUUAUAGACAUACAAGAUUUUGUUAUCUCAACCCUGUGUUUUAAAUUAAUUAAAAAUAAAACCGGAAAUGUGAUAAGUUAAUAAACAACAAAUAUGAAUAAAACCGGAAAUGUGAUAUGUAAACAAUUGUAAAUAGUUAACUAUCAGUACGAUUCUGCACUAGACUUAGGACCUGACUUGUGAUUAUUCUGAAGGUAUUCCUGAUAAUUCUUAAGAUCUAACUCACUGUCGGACGCCUCCUCACUCCCUUCUUCCAGAGUAUUUGAUGUACACGACCACCAGCGUCAUAUGAAUGGUCGUUUUCUGGGUCCUCCUUAUGCUUGUAUUCUGUUCUAGCCUUUUUUCGGGCGUUUUGACGAUUCAUCUGAUUCAGUCGGAGAACCCUUCGAUUCAGACGAACUUUCACCUUCUUCAACUUGGAAUGCUGCAUGCAUGAUGUCGUCAAUGGUCGAGAACUCAUAUGAACUGAUCGCCGACCGUAUGUCCUCCCUUAAGCCAUCUCGAUACAUCUUCACCAAUGUUUCAUGGUUGUGAUUUUGAAGAAGACCCCCUACCAAAAACGAUGUAUUGUAUUCUCGGACAGAUGAAUCUUCCUGCUUCUUUUUUGCUUGUAUUGGAAUCCGUUGUGUGAUAUAAUGAUAGUGUUAGAGGGUAUUUAUAUAGAGAAAUAAUAUGGCGGAGUGAUGAAUAUAUGCGACCAUUGGGAAAACCAAAAUUCUUAACUGACAUUGUCAAGGGUUGCAAAAGGUUUAUGAUAACUGUUUUUGACUAUUACAUAAGUAACUCCGUUUUGGAUACUUUACAAGCGGUGGGGUACAAAGUUAUAUUUUCUAUGAUAACCGGAACCGUAUAUUUUCUCUAUAUUUAUUAAUUUUUAUAUGUGUUAAUUAAUCGUGGUGUACAAAGUUUACGUAAAACGGUGAAUGAAAGGAGUUGUACACCGUAAGGUGCAUAACUCAGUAAAAAAGUUUAACGCAUACAUAUUGGAUAAAGAGGAUUCUCAAGUACAAAAGAAUCUUGCAAAAGUUAUGUUUUACAGCAUGUGCAAAAUAUUUAAACUGAUCCAAUAGAGCCUGUAGUGUUUGCAAGUACCUUCCAAAGCGAAAUUGAUAUCAUGUACGAAUUCACAUGUAGGUGUCGGGAUUACCUCAUCAUCCGAAAAUUUGAAGGUCGAAGCAUAGGUGUUCAAUGUUGGCGCAUGGAACAAUGACAAUCUAAACUGUAGCUCAUCUGCCAUUUCAAAUACAUCGUCCGACAUAAGCACAUUGUUAUUGGGUCCAAACUGCUGAAACACAUUGAUGGCUUCCUUAUCUCGACCAAGGCAUACAUAGAAUAUGCCCAUUGCUAGGGUUGACAAUUCAUGCGUAGGAACAUUGGCCUCCAAUACUUAGAUACCCUGCUCAAGUCCAAAAAGUGUUGCUCGAUGGAACCCUUCGUAGUAAACAGCAGUUAUGUUACCAGCAUUAACGCAUUGACGAAAAAGUUCCUAAACUUACCAAAUUUGCCGAUUUGACAAGAAGUGAAAUCGAGCAUAGGACUCACGUUGCACGUUCGUAAUAUGGAUUGAGAAUGGACAAGUCUGUAUCCAACUUUCCCAGCCUGGAUGAAACCUCCAAGGUAGGAAAAGGAUCCCUAUCCAACAAGUUGAAUGAUUUUCAAUAUGACUUCGUGGGGGAACAUAUGCAAGUUGUCCUUGUGGCAUACUAUUUUCAAGAUGGGAAAUAGUUUUCUAUGUAUAGAUAGCGCUUAUGAAUCUACCUACUUAAAUAUAGGAGUAACUUAAAGAUGUUGGGUGAGUUAAAUACAAAAUUUAAUGUUACCACCAAUACAAAAAUAAAGUUGGGUGACUUAUUUUAUAAUAAUAUUUGGUGUACAGAUCCUUAUAAAUGAUAAUAUUGUUGAUACAUAUAUCUCGAAUACGGUGUACAAAGUUGUUUACCCUAAUAUACAUUAUAUGGUGUACACCCUAAUAUACGGUGUACAAAGUCAUACACCCUAAUAUACAAUACUUUACGGAGAUAACUGUAACACCCGUCUCCUCCUCUCUCGAGAACGGUGUGUUACUACCGGUGAAAUAUCGAAUUAAACCGAAUUAUUCCAAAUCGAACAACAUAACAUAAUAUUUAAUAAAAUAAUUUUAAAAGAAAUACAUUUGUAAAUUGAAGUAUAAAAAUAUAUCAAAAUAAAUCGAAUCUAAAAUUCGUAUAAAUUAGUAAUCAAAACCGAAUUAAAUAAAUUAUCCCAAAGACACCAAACCGUUCAGAUAUCCAAUACUCGAUAAGCGCACCUGCAAGGGGGAAGAAGAAGGGUGAGCAACAGGUGAGUUACUCCGUGAGGUAUGGGGAUGCUAAACACGCAAACCACUGACUUGAGUAAUAUAACUCGCACUAUGGAAGUUUAGCUCUAACAUGAACAAACAAGACGUCUAAAGGAUCACACAACACAAACAAUGCGAUGAUAACAUAUAGCUAGUCCAUACACCCCGCAUCUCCUCAUACGGAUAUAUAUAUACAUACGCUGCGUCGCUAGUACAGUCUGUCUCUGUACCCCCGCCCUCCAAAGCUGCGUCGAAUGCAAACGUCUCUGCAUCCACGCCCCACACAAUCUGCGUCGCUAGCCCAGACGUCUCUGAGCCCCCGCCCACCAAAGCUGCGUCGCUAGUCCAGACAUCUCUGGACCCCCGCCCACUCACAUAGUCCCUAAUCAUAACUAUGUAAACAUACAUAUAUAUAUCGCAUUUCUUAACAUCACACAAUCAAAUCAACGGUUGAAUCCUCUAGACCCCUAGUUCCAAUUUACAAUGAAUGAGCUAACUAACAAACAAGACUCAAACAGAUUCAUUUCAAACAGAGGGAUCAUGAUUCGAAAUCUAAACUACGAUAGAGAGAAUUCUACACUGGUACGGGAUCUACGGAAUAGCCCUCACCUUAGCCAAUAUUAGAGAUUCGUCGGAUAAUACUCAGGAACUGAUAUGUCUCGUCAAAUGUCUAGGCUUUAGAGUUGACUUGGCAAACAAAUCACCGAUAAGGUCUUUGAUUCCUUCCUACGCAUGCCAUGUUAAACGUGUACGUUAAAUAUAUUUCUUGUAUCACAAGAAACAACUUAUGAUACAAUUAACCUUCUCGGAAAUAGCUACGGUUUGAACGGCUAGAUCUUUGGUGACACGGCUCAGCUCUCCGGUGGCUCACGGUUCAUGGCAAAGCAUAUCGGUGGUAGUCGGUUAAGCGGCUGUGGCUCAAAGCUUACAACGGGGGAUCCGCUCGGUGCCGCGGUGGUGAGACGGUGGCUCCUCUUUGUGCAUCUCCUUCUCACGUUCACUUAUCGGAUCGAUAUUAUACCAACCACAAAGCACUUGCGAUUGAUCUUGGACUAGCAAAGGUUGUGGCAUCACGGCGGUGGCUAUCGGUGAUGGAUGGUUCGUGGGGAAACGGAUCAGUGGUGGUGAUGGUAGCUCGGGCUUGCUCGCGAUCUAUCUCUUGACUUUGCUCACUUUAUCAACGCAUGAGAUGGCAUGGUAAUGGAUCCAGUGACUCAUCUCUUUAAGCUCUCGGAUCUGGCGUACCACCAACAAUGGUGGCUUUGAUCGCAAGCAAACAUGAGUGGGGGUGAAGAGAAGAACAAAUAAUCACGAGGUGGGUUGACGGCUUGACGUAUAUUUUAGGGUUACACAAACUCUUAUAUAUACGCCCACGAUUUAGUUAAUGAGAUUGGCUUUGGUUUUCACUCAUAAUUGUUUUAAAUUAAACCAUACCGAUUUAACAAAACCGGGUCGUUACAAUUCUCCCCCACUUAUAAAGAAUUCGUCCUCGAAUUUAAAUCCUGAGCCGGUUGUCUAAUAUCAUCCUGAAAAAGUUUUGGAUCAUCAAUUCUCAUCUGAGUCUCGGUCUUUUAGGUCUCCUCCUAGAUUUUGUCUUUCUUUCAACAAAUUUUGCAAACAUAGUCAUCAUUCUCUGAACCUCUUUCCCUUGCCAAUUUAUAAUAUCCACUGGGCGGCAAGGUGCAGGUAAUUAAUUUUUUUUUUUUCUCACUUGGCGAAGGCUGCAAAAUGAGCUCCGGCUCUCUCCCAAUGUUUCUCAAAGCUGGCACAUGGCAUACGUCAUGGGAAUUUGAUACACGGAUGAUAAAAUAACUGCAAUCAACUGCUUCAAUUCGCUCCACCGAAAGAUAUAGUCCAAUGUACCUCGGUCUAAGUUGCUUCAGCUUAUGAGUCUUAAGUCCUUCCUGAAAUGUCAUUAUUUUCAAGUACAUUAGGUCGCCCAUAUGUAACUCCAAAUCCUUACGGCACUUAGCUGCAUAAAUCCUCUGCCGUCAUGGGCUUCCCAAAGCCAAUCCUUGAGCAUGCCCAUUUGCUAUACCAUCUCUUAAACCAUUAAUAGUUCUAACUCAUGUCACUCCCUCACUUUGGUCUAACAAAGUGGUAUACGACAAAGCCUACCAUAAAUAGCCUCAUACAGUGUCAUCUCAAUGCUCGAACAAUAAUUUUCGAUGUAGGCAAACUUUGCUAGAUGUAAUGCUUUUCGAUCUUCCAUCCCACUGUAAGAGGUAAUCCCUGAGUAUGUUCUCUAAGUCUGAAUAGUUCUCUUUAACUAACCAUCUGUAUGCUGAUAAUAAGUUGUAUUCAUGUGGAUCUUUGGCCCAAGUUUCUUCUGAGUGACUCCAAAAAUGUAGUGAACUUCGAAUCCCAAUCCGAUACAAUGUUGACAUCCAUGAAACCUCCCAGACUCAAUAAUGUAAGUCUACUCAAACUUAUUAGCUCUAACUGUUUUCUUAAUUACUUAGAAAAUGGGCUGACUUGGUAAGUCUAUCCAUGACUACCCAUGUGGCAUCCUUUCCACAUAUGGUGAUUUAAAAAUCCAAUAACAACGUCCAUAAUCACCAUGCCUCAUGUCCACUCUGGCAAAAGCAAGCUCAAAAAUAACAUGAUAGAUAACUGAUCCUCUGACAUAGCCAUCUGACAUGUCUGACACUGUGACGCAAUGAAGCUACAACUCCCUUCAUACUAGACCAAUUAUAGUAAACACUUCAUAUCCUUGUACCCCUUGGUGUUCCCGAUGGGUAGAGAAACACGAGUGAUGUAUUUGCUAUAAGAUCCCUUUUCUUAACAGCUUAUCGUCCAACACACAACUCGGUUUCGUUACAGGUAUAUCCUUCUCAAAACUAUCAUGCUCAACACUAAUGAUAUCCAAUACUCCCAAUCUCGAUCGUUUUACAAAUCCAUAACUUUAGCAUGCGCUUGGCGUAUUCUCCAUAGCAAAACUGCCUGCUCCAAUGUCCCAAGGCCAUCUGUCUCUCCGUCGACAGUACUGACACACAAUCUGAGACUAGCAAAUAUCCCAGUAAACUCAUGAACCUCUUUGGUUUCUGAUACGUCGCUCAUAUGCCUACCCAAGGCAUUUGUUACCUGGUUAUCUUUACCAGAUGGUAUGCAAUAUCCAAAUAUAGCCUGCUACCAACUCAAUCCAACUGCACUGUCCAAAUACAAGUUUUAAUGAAUGAAGAUAGAUUUCAGACUCCAAUGAUCCCAAAGAAUCUGAACUUCCUUCCUGUACAAUUACAAUCUCCAAAACUAUAACGCAAAUACCACUGCAGCCACUACGAAUCUUGAAUUGGAUAGUGGGUCUCGUGAGGUCUCAACUGAUGCAAUGUAUAUUGAAUGACCUGAUCCUCAUGCAUCAAUACAAAAUCCGCAAACGCUCAUAAUGCUCCCUCUACUCCAAGAAUAACUCAAUGGGGUCGUUGAUGAGUACAAUCGCGCACUUGUCCAAGUGUUCGCGAAAGACAUCAUUCUUAAGCUUCUCAAAUGCUAUCGGUGCAUUCGUCGAUCCAAAAUGAUUUCACCAAAACUCAUAAUAUCCAUAACGUAUACGAAAACCCACAUUCCGUACAUACUCCUCAACUAUAGCAAUCUGAUGAUGUCCUGAUGUCAAGACAACCUUCGAGAACGAUGAACCUCCAUGCAGCUAAUUCAACAACUCAUCAAUAUGAUGGUUACCAUGUUCAAGUUUAUGUAGUUGAUACAAAGCCUGAAACUCCCAUCAUUUUUUUUUGCUUUACAAACAACACUGGUGCUCCCCACGGCGAAUUACUCGGCCUGAUAAAUCUCUUGUCUGAUGAAUCUUCCAUAUGUUCUUUCAAUUCAGCCAUCUCUGCCGGCGCUAAUCGAUAUAGAACUCGUGAAACCGGUGUUGUCCUUGCCUUCAACUUGAACGUAAGAACAUCUCCUCUGGCUGGUGACGGCCCUUCCAUGGCCUCAAAUACAUCUCCAUACUCUGAGAUAACUAGAAGAUCCUGCGACUCAUGUUGACCAUCGAAAUGAUCGCCCAAAUCCAUUACUCCUCAUAUCCAAUAACUCCUCUGCAUGUAGCAUGUAUGCAAAUAAAAUCUGCUCUGCUCCAGAAAUAUGAACUUUUGCCCUCAGGCAAUCCAACAGUACUCGCUGUUGUGAUAACUCCAUCCCAAAAAUGAUAUCACAAAACACAAUUUUAUCUCUGUUCAGCCUUCCAAGUAUAACUGGUACACCACAAUCAAUAUAAAUAGCUCCCAACGUUUCUAUGUCAGCUGUCCGAGCUGACACAUCUCUGAAAUUAUCAACACUGCCAAAAACUGGAAAACAUACCAAGCGUAACUCCAAUAUCACACAACGCAAGCUGUCGCACCCAAUCCAAAAGCGAUCCCCACGAGUUUACAAAAUAACCAUGCCUCCAAGGCAAUAAAUAUACUCAUACACACGAAUAACACAUGCCAACUCAUGGCUCACAUCUCAUACCACAUAAUCUCCAAUAACAAAACCUCGUGGAGCGAUGGCUUGAAGUUAGAAUGGUGGCAACAAUGUCACAUAUCCACAUGCAGACAAUCUUCGAACACGGCUGACGAACCUGAUACACACCUGAGCAAUCUGUUGAGCUGUGACAUCAUCCAUCUGUCGAACAUCUCACUGAAACCCUGUUAGCUAGAGAACGGAUGACGAUGAUAAACUCAUCAUCAAUAAAAAGACACUUGGGUUAGAAGUUUCUGAACGAAAAGGUGCUGUAUUUUUCUUUUUCUUAAAACUCCCAAAUCCCCAUAUUCAAAAAUCCUUAAAACCGUUUAAGCUGAAUUAAAACCGAGUCGAAACCACGUCGAAACCACGUCCCAAUAAAUCGCCAUCCCGGGUCAGAGCCGGGACGGAACCCCGCUCUGAUACCAAAUUGUAACACCCGUCUCCUCCUCUCUCGAGAACGGUGUGUUACUACCGGUGAAAUAUCGAAUUAAACCGAAUUAUUCCAAAUCGAACAACAUAACAUAAUAUUUAAUAAAAUAAUUUUAAAAGAAAUACAUUUGUAAAUUGAAGUAUAAAAAUAUAUCAAAAUAAAUCGAAUCUAAAAUUCGUAUAAAUUAGUAAUCAAAACCGAAUUAAAUAAAUUAUCCCAAAGACACCAAACCGUUCAGAUAUCCAAUACUCGAUAAGCGCACCUGCAAGGGGGAAGAAGAGGGGUGAGCAACAGGUGAGUUACUCCGUGAGGUAUGGGGAUGCUAAACACGCAAACCACUGACUUGAGUAAUAGAAUUCCCACUAUGGAAGUUUAGCUCUAACAUGAACAAACAAGACGCCUAAAGCAUCACACAACACAAACAAUGCGAUGAUAACAUAUAGCUAGUCCAUACACCCCGCAUCUCCUCAUACGGAUAUAUAUAUACAUACGCUGCGUCGCUAGUACAGUCUGUCUCUGUACCCCCGCCCUCCAAAGCUGCGUCGAAUGCAAACGUCUCUGCAUCCACGCCCCACACAAUCUGCGUCGCUAGCCCAGACGUCUCUGAGACCCCGCCCAACAAAGCUGCGUCGCUAGUCCAGACAUCUCUGGACCCCCGCCCACUCACAUAGUCCCUAAUCAUAACUAUGUAAACAUACAUAUAUAUAUCGCAUUUCUUAACAUCACACAAUCAAAUCAACGGUUGAAUCCUCUAGACCCCUAGUUCCAAUUUACAAUGAAUGAGCUAACUAACAAACAAGACUCAAACAGAUUCAUUUCAAACAGAGGGAUCAUGAUUCGAAAUCUAAACUACGAUAGAGAGAAUUCUACACUGGUACGGGAUCUACGGAAUAGCCCUCACCUUAGCCAAUAUUAGAGAUUCGUCGGAUAAUACUCAGGAACUGAUAUGUCUCGUCAAAUGUCUAGGCUUUAGAGUUGACUUGGCAAACAAAUCACCGAUAAGGUCUUUGAUUCCUUCCUACGCAUGCCAUGUUAAACGUGUACGUUAAAUAUAUUUCUUGUAUCACAAGAAACAACUUAUGAUACAAUUAACCUUCUCGGAAAUAGCUACGGUUUGAACGGCUAGAUCUUUGGUGACACGGCUCAGCUCUCCGGUGGCUCACGGUUCAUGGCAAAGCAUAUCGGUGGUAGUCGGUUAAGCGGCUGUGGCUCAAAGCUUACAACGGGGGAUCCGCUCGGUGCCGCGGUGGUGAGACGGUGGCUCCUCUUUGUGCAUCUCCUUCUCACGUUCACUUAUCGGAUCGAUAUUAUACCAACCACAAAGCACUUGCGAUUGAUCUUGGACUAGCAAAGGUUGUGGCAUCACGGCGGUGGCUAUCGAUGAUGGAUGGUUCGUGGGGAAACGGAUCAGUGGUGGUGAUGGUAGCUCGGGCUUGCUCGCGAUCUAUCUCUUGACUUUGCUCACUUUAUCAACGCAUGAGAUGGCAUGGUAAUGGAUCCAGUGACUCAUCUCUUUAAGCUCUCGGAUCUGGCGUACCACCAACAAUGGUGGCUUUGAUUGCAAGCAAACAUGAGUGGGGGUGAAGAGAAGAACAAAUAAUCACGAGGUGGGUUGACGGCUUGACGUAUAUUUUAGGGUUACACAAACUCUUAUAUAUACGCCCACGAUUUAGUUAAUGAGAUUGGCUUUGGUUUUCACUCAUAAUUGUUUUAAAUUAAACCAUACCGAUUUAACAAAACCGGGUCGUUACAAUAACAUUAAAAGGGAGAUAACAUUUUCUACAUUAAAACGGAUAUAACAAUAAAACAGAGCUAGCAUUAAAACGAAAACUUCUUAAAAGGCUUUGUUUAAAGCAUAU
Molecule: long non-coding RNA, 12292 nt
Organism: Brassica rapa (field mustard)
Lineage: Eukaryota; Viridiplantae; Streptophyta; Magnoliopsida; Brassicales; Brassicaceae
Source: RefSeq, a predicted model, not a curated record